Molecule: ribosomal RNA, 1433 nt
Filed under: uncultured bacterium
Lineage: Bacteria
Description: bacterial SSU rRNA
Rfam family: Bacterial small subunit ribosomal RNA
Source: RNAcentral
AGAGUUUGAUCAUGGCUCAGAACGUACGCUGGCGGCACGCCUAACACAUGCAAGUCGAACGAAGUAGCAAUACUUAGUGGCAGACGGGUGAGUAACAUGUAGGUAUCUGCCCUUUGGCCUGGAAUAACACGAGGAAACUUGUGCUAAUACCGGAUAAGUCUUUACGGAGAAAGCUUUAUGCACCAUUGGAUGAGCCUGCACUUGAUUAGUUUGUUGGUGGGGUAAUGGCCUACCAAGACUGUGAUCAAUAGCUGAUUUGAGAGGAUGAUCAGCCACAUUGGGACUGAGACACGGCCCAAACUCCUACGGGAGGCAGCAGUGGGGAAUCUUGCACAAUGGAGGAAACUCUGAUGCAGCGAUGCCGCGUGAGUGAAGAAGGCCCUUGGGUUGUAAAGCUCUUUCGUCGGGGAAGAAAAUGACUGUACCCGAAUAAGAAGGUCCGGCUAACUUCGUGCCAGCAGCCGCGGUAAUACGAAGGGACCUAGCGUAGUUCGGAAUUACUGGGCUUAAAGAGUUCGUAGGUGGUUGAAAAAGUUAGUGGUGAAAUCCCAGAGCUUAACUCUGGAACUGCCAUUAAAACUUUUCAGCUAGAGUAUGAUAGAGGAAAGCAGAAUUUCUAGUGUAGAGGUGAAAUUCGUAGAUAUUAGAAAGAAUACCAAUUGCGAAGGCAGCUUUCUGGAUCAUUACUGACACUGAGGAACGAAAGCAUGGGUAGCGAAGAGGAUUAGAUACCCUCGUAGUCCAUGCCGUAAACGAUGUGUGUUAGACGUUGGAAAUUUAUUUUCAGUGUCGCAGCGAAAGCGAUAAACACACCGCCUGGGGAGUACGACCGCAAGGUUAAAACUCAAAUGAAUUGACGGGGACCCGCACAAGUAGUGGAGCAUGUGGUUUAAUUCGAAGAUACGCGCAGAACCUUACCAACACUUGACAUGUUCGUCGCGACUCUAAGAGAUUAGAGUUUUCGGUUCGGCCGGACGAAACACAGGUGCUGCAUGGCUGUCGUCAGCUCGUGUCGUGAGAUGUUGGGUUAAGUCCCGCAACGAGCGCAACCCUCACUUUUAGUUGCCAUCAUUAAGUUGGGCACUCUGAAAGAACUGCCAGUGAUAAGCUGGAGGAAGGUGGGGAUGACGUCAAGUCCUCAUGGCCCUUACGUGUUGGGCUACACACGUGCUACAAUGGCAUCUACAACAGGAAGCAAAACGGCAACGUUAAGCAAAUCCCGAAAAGAUGCCUCAGUUCGGAUUGCACUCUGCAACUCGAGUGCAUGAAGCUGGAAUUACUAGUAAUCGUGGAUCAGCGUGCCACGGUGAAUGCGUUCCCGGGUCUUGUACACACCGCCCGUCACACCAUGGGAGUUGGUUCUACCUUAAGGCAAGGUUUUAAACCCUUGACCACGGUAUAGUCAGCGACUGGGGUGAAGUCGUAACAAGGUA